This 4829-nucleotide long non-coding RNA is filed under the name Sus scrofa (pig). RNAcentral's name for it is "lncRNA (ENSSSCG00000052740.1)". The record is from RNAcentral. Lineage: Eukaryota; Metazoa; Chordata; Mammalia; Artiodactyla; Suidae.
GGUGAAAAAAAUGUCUUGAGCUGCUAUUGUCUGUUUAAAUUAGGUAAAUGCAAUUAAGACGAGUCAAAUAUACACAGGCUCCAAUGAUGGGUAAAAUUAAGGUCACCAGUUGCAGCCCUAAUCCAGCUGCAUUGCUUAAUCUGGGCUUUAGCCAUUACAAGUGAGCAGAAUGGUAAUGUCUUGCUAGUUUGGGGGUUAAUGUAGACUGACUGGGUAACUAGAAAUAAAUCCUGCAGGCUUGCUCCAACCAGCAAGUGCUUAACACUGACAUUUUAAAAAAGGAAAAUUGGGUUCCAUUCCCCAGGACUGGUCCUUGCUUUUCCCUCUACCUAAGCGCAGAAGCAAAAGAACUCUUUUUCCUGGCCAUUUUUUUUGUUUGUUUCCCUCCAGAGGAGUCUUGCGUUUGCCAUUUGUGUAUUUCUCUUGCUCAUUCCAAAACUGAAAGUUCUGCGUCUUAAUCCUCUUAAAACAAGAGCGCUUGUCUUUCUUUUCAUAUGCAUACAAAUUAUAUUUGUGCUGCCUGAUAUUGUUACUUUGUGAAGGAAUUGGUUCAGGUAGUCAGAAGAUAUGACGAAAACAUUGUGCAUAUGGAAAAAAAAAAAAAAGGUUGACAUUUACAGCCGAGAGAGAGGUACGGAAUUGCAAAGGUCAUCAAUGAGUAAACAGAUAUUAAUGGUUAGCCGGAUAACUGGUACAUAAACAGGUCACAUUAAUAAUUAACACCAGGAAAAACUUAGCACUUUCAACCAAGCUCAGGAAAGUUAGGUGCCGAGGAAAUUCCCCAGAAGUAGAUGAGAAUGCCAUGCUGAUUUCUGGUUGCUAGAGAGCAAAAAGGCCCUGCUCCAUUUUUAUGUUUCUCACGUAUUCACCAAAAAUCAGUUCUGAGAUGGAAAUGAUAAGAAGUAAGAGGGAUCGUGGAAGAAAAACUUCUCAGUGACUAUUAUUUGCUAAGUGAUACUUGGCCUAACACUGCCUAUUUGCUUUCCUUCCAUGACAGUGUGUAAAAUUGCUCAAGAAAUUUAUUUUAUCACUAACCUACCAAGUCUCUCUAAAAGUAUUAGCUCAGUCAUUUUGUUAUUUUGCCCGCAUGUUACAUUAAAACUUGUGAGCUGAGAGGGUUAAAUUUUGCAUGUGCUGAUUGGCAUUCACCACCAUUUUUUGUAGUUGUUUUGCAAAGACUAUUUUUUAGAGCAGUUUAGGUUCACAGUAACAUUGAGGGGAAGAUAUCCAGAAUUCUGUAUAUCUCCUGCUCCUACACAUGAAGAGCCUCUACCAUGAUCAACAUCCCCCACUAGAGCGGUGCAUUUAUUCCAGGCGAUGAGCCUACAUAGACUCAUCAUAACUACGCAAAGUCCAUAGUUUACCUUAGGGUUCAUUCUUCAUGUUGUGCAUUCUCUAGGUUUGGGCAAAUGUACAUUGGCAGAUAUCAAUCAUUAUAGUAUCAUAUAGAUUAUUUUCACUGCCCUAAAAAUUCUAUGCACCCCACCUAUUUCCCUCUACCCGACAUUUCAACCCCUGGUAACCACGGAUCUUUUUAUCGUCCCUAAAGUUUUUCCUUCUCCAGAAUGUCACAGAGUUAGAAUCGUACAAUAUGUAACCUUUUCAGGCUAGCUUCUUUCACUUUAGUAAUAUGGAAGAUAUCUCCUACCUCUCUUCUGAUGGGUUGAUAGCUCAUUACCUUUUUGUGCUGAAUGAUUUUUCAUUGUCUGGAUGUACCACAGUUUAUUUAUCCCUUCACCUGCUGAAGGACAACUAGGUCACUUCCAAAUUUGGGCAAUGAUGACUAAAUGACUAAGCAUUCCCGAGCAGGUUUUUUGUUUGGCUAUAAGUUUCAUCUUUGCUUUUUAUAGGGGAAAAUCAAAGCUGGAUCUGUGGUUAUGAAGGCAAAGGCAUGGGGUGCCAGGCAAAGAAACUUCAUGAGUGAGGUGCUCUCCUACCCCCACCCCCAACCCGACUUCUCACCAUGGGGGACUGGGAGCAAAUGCACCUGAACCUUUCAGCAUGUCAUCCUCUUAAGCCUAGAGCACCACAUUUUUUAAUUUUUUUUAAAGACACCAGAUUUUAUGUAAAAAUCUCUAGAUUCCUGGACUUUUAAAUGUUGACAACUCACCGAAACUCUGUUCAGUCCAAGCAAUAUGUUUUUACUUCAGGCCACCUCAGCUCAGUUGAAUUGCUUAUCCAAAUUAAAAAUAAACAAAAAGCAAAACAAAAAUUGCUGAAAAUUUACCAAGGAGGAAGAGCCUCAGUUUAUCUUUAAAAUUUACUACACAGACUCUCUUCUUCAAAUGCAAUUCUACCUAGGAAUAUUCAGAAAAAGAGAAUUUGAUAAAAUCGGACUAUAUACUUUAACAAAGAAGUAGACUAUGAGUAAGGACCUCACGCUUACUCUCAGAACCAUGUGAAUAAAAGUCAGAUGAGAUACUUUUGUAUACGUGGCCUAAUGGUUUACAGAUGAGUGAGUAGCACUGCUUUCAAACAUAAUGUGAGGAAACCAAUUUUUAAAUAAAUGUGUAGUUGGCGUAUCAAGCCCACAGGAGAUACUGUGACGUACCCAACCUGAAAAUCAAAUUAUUUAAGGUUGGUUAUACUAAUAACAGCCUCAAACCAACUGCUAAGGUGAACUAUAAAACCAGACUAGCCAAAGGCAGGAAAUGGGAUGAGUUUGAGAGGAAGUAGAAAGAAAAUGAGGUACAAGGCUGGUUUACUAGUUAAAGGCGGGGUAGAUGCUGAGAUAAACCACAGAGGGUGUGUGGAUCUUGUUUCUGAGCAUGGAGUGGGAGGGUGACCGGGGGUUCUCAUGGCCUCAGGUCUAGUCCCUCUCCCCUUCUCCAGGACCACAUCUCCACCACCCUCUGCUUUCUUGUCACCAUGGGCUGCUGGCCUGGUUCACAAUGCUUUCUCAUCUCUCCUGGCCCAUCUUAACCUAAAGCCUUCUUCACAUCACCCUUACUUUUGACCCAGGCACUUUCUUAUCUGUCCUAUAAAGUUCAUCAAAGUUCAGGUGCACCCUCUCCCAGAAGGCCUCAUCUAAGUCCUCUCCAAGUGAUCAGGGUACCCCCUCCUCUGUGUCCCCCCCCCCAGCACCUCAGCACUACAGUCAUGAGAGGCAUGGGUGCACAGAGCCUUCUCCCCAUUGGCCCAUGAACACCUUGUUGAAGGCAGAGCCUACUGUUUCCACCUUUGAACCGCCAUCACCUGAGCCCUGUGCUUGGAAAACAGCUCGUUAAUGUUGAAAGAAUGUCUAAAUGCAUGAAAAGAAUGGGCCUCAGAGCACAAAUGCUUAGAAAAGAGACUCUGACAAGUAAAAUACGAGUGAAUGAAACUGUUACCCCCCUUUUUUUCUCUUUUGGUAUAAAUCUUUCAUAUGUUCACUGCAGUGACAUUUGUGAUAGCAAGUUCUAGUUUAAAGAAUCUUCUGGAUCUUAUUAAACACAGUAACAAUUCGGUUCUUCGGCUUCCUCAUCUGUAAAGCAGAGGUGAUAGCACCCGCCCUGUGAGGCUCAGAGUGUGGUUGGAAAGACGUCUGAGACCAUAUAUGAAAAGAGUCACCCCCAAUGGCAGGUGGAUCAAGUUGCUGCCCAUCCUCUGCUCAUCUCUAUCUGUGUGGCCCUAUUAAAAUUCUCUGACUAGAAGUUCCCAUUGUGGCUUAGCCAGUUAAGAACCAGACAGAGUGUCUGCGAGGAUGCAGGUUCAAUCCCUGGCCUUGUUCAGUGUGUUAAGGAUCCAGAGUUGUUGUGAGGUGUGGUGUAGGCCACAGAUGCAGCUCGGAUCCCGCAUUGCUGUGGCUGUGAUGUCAGCUGGCAGCUGUAGCUCCAGUUUGAUCCCAGCCUGGAACUUCCAUAUGCUACAGGUAGAGUCAUAAAAAGAGAAGGAAAAAAGGGAAAAAAUUCCCCGCCUUUUGCCCAUUACCCAAUUUGUGUAUGAACAAGGAUACUGCCUCUCAUCUCAGGAUUCCCAGACCUCAUAGGACCCAGCAUUUAGCAAGCCCAGUAAAUGUGUAUUAUAGAAUGAUGUAUGCCACAAACGUCACAGUACAAAAUUCAUUCAAAUUGUCUUAGACAACAAGAUACAGGACAGAAUAGGAGAGAAAAAAAGGAAAUAGAAAUUAUUGAGAGGCUACUAUUUACUGGGCACUCUAUAUGCCUGAUUUUAUGUAUGAGUUAUAAUCCUCUAAGAUAACAUCAUGCUUAUUUUCCAUAGAAGGGAGUUGCAGCUCAGUGAGUUGGAUAUCACAGCAAAGGAUACACAGCUUCUAUCAGCUCAAACCCAAACACCACACUUCUCCCCGUAAUGAGGCUUUUGUCCUCCAGCAGCUAAUAGUUCCUGCACCUCUGACAUCGCAGAAUCAAUGACCAAAAACUCAGGGUGUGUCUAGUCCAUGGGCCAGAUCACCAGCUUAAAAACAGAGGUUCAAAGAGAGGUAUGUGGCCAAAGCUACUGAAACAGUUAGUUUUUUGUUUGUUUUUUUUUUUUAAAAAAAAAAAAGGAUGAAAAGUCUGUUAGUAAAGCUAGUAUGUUUCACAAUCACAAAUCGCUCUAUUUAUACACUAUUGUGAUUAAAUUUACAAGUAUAUUUUAUAGUUCAUAAAAGCUUCUAAAUAAUUCCACAUUGUUUGAUCUAAUGUACCGUUAUAAAAAUGACAAAUAUUUCCCAUUCACACAGACUUAAAUCUUUUAUAACUAUAAAAAGUUGGGUUCUUUUUUUUUUUUUUUUUCACAAAGUACCCGAAACCUCACUCUUAGAAAAUAGGCCAAGACUAUGAACUAAAACCCCGUCAGAGAAAGCACAACUCAGAGAAAAGCCUCCUCAAACGAUCAUUAAAGUAAUA